RNAcentral lists this ribosomal RNA (499 nucleotides) under uncultured bacterium. RNAcentral describes it as "partial 16S ribosomal RNA". It matches the Rfam family "Bacterial small subunit ribosomal RNA", at positions 899 to 1397 of the family's 1533-position model. The record is from RNAcentral.
ACUCAAAUGAAUAGACGGGGGCCCGCACAAGCGGUGGAUUAUGUGGUUUAAUUCGAAGCAACGCGCAAAACCUUACCUGGGUUUGAAAUCCUACGAAUCCUGCAGAGAUGCGGGAGUGCCCUUCGGGGAAUGUAGAGACAGGCGCUGCAUGGCUGUCGUCAGCUCGUGUUGUGAAAUGUUGGGUUAAGUCUCGCAACGAGCGCAACCCCUGUCCUUAGUUGCCAGCAUUAAGUUGGGCACUCUAGGGAGACUGCCAGGGUUAACCUGGAGGAAGGUGGGGAUGACGUCAAGUCCUCAUGGCCCUUAUGUCCAGGGCUACACACGUAAUACAAUGGCCAGUAUAGAGGGACGCAAGCCCGCGAGGGGAAGCUAAUCUCAAAAAGCUGGUCUCAGUCCGGAUUGGAGUCUGCAACUCGACUCCAUGAAGUUGGAAUCGCUAGUAAUCGCCGAUCAGCACGCGGCGGUGAAUACGUUCCCGGGCCUUGUACACACCGCCCGU